UGGGGAAUAUUGCGCAAUGGGGGAAACCCUGACGCAGCGACGCCGUGUGAGGGCAGAAGGCUUUCGGGUCGUAAACCUCUGUCAGGAAGGAAGAACCUCUCAAGGCUGAACAAGCCUUGGGACUGACGGUACUUCCAGAGGAAGCACCGGCUAACUCCGUGCCAGCAGCCGCGGUAAUACGGAGGGUGCAAGCGUUAAUCGGAAUCACUGGGCGUAAAGCGCGCGUAGGCCGUCUUUUAAGUUGGACGUGAAAGCCCUCGGCUCAACCGGGGACCGGCGUUCGAUACUGGGACACUUGAGGCCCGGGGAGUGUGGCGGAAUUCCGGGUGUAGGAGUGAAAUCCGUAGAUAUCCGGAGUAACACCGGUGGCGAAGGCGGCCA
Molecule: ribosomal RNA, 381 nt
Filed under: uncultured bacterium
Lineage: Bacteria
Description: bacterial SSU rRNA
Rfam family: Bacterial small subunit ribosomal RNA
Source: RNAcentral